RNAcentral lists this ribosomal RNA (551 nucleotides) under uncultured Inocybe. RNAcentral's name for it is "eukaryotic LSU rRNA". The stretch from base 233 to 384 matches the Rfam family "5.8S ribosomal RNA". Lineage: Eukaryota; Fungi; Basidiomycota; Agaricomycetes; Agaricales; Cortinariaceae. The record is from RNAcentral.
GGCUGGUCUUUCUUAAAGACAUGUGCACGCUUGUCAUCUUUAUUUCUCCACUGUGCACACAUUGUAGACCUGGUUAUUUUGGAUUGUUCGAGUAAAAUUGAAUAGAUUGAGGAUUGCUGACCUUUCUCAAAGACAGCUUUGCCUUGCAUUUCCAGGUCUAUGUUAUUUCAUAAACCUUUGAUAUGUUACAGAAUGUUGAAUUGGGUCUUUGCACCUAUAAAGUUAAAUAUACAACUUUCAGCAACGGAUCUCUUGGCUCUCGCAUCGAUGAAGAACGCAGCGAAAUGCGAUAAGUAAUGUGAAUUGCAGAAUCAGUGAAUCAUCGAAUCUUUGAACGCAUCUUGCGCUCCUUGGAUUCCGAGGAGCAUGCCUGUUUGAGUGCAUUAAGUUCUCACUGCACUAGUUCUUUCUGGUGCAGCUUGGAUGUGGGUGUUUUUGCAGGCUUUUCAAGUCGGUCUCUGAAUGCAUUAGGGUCUCCUAGCAGAGAAACUGCUACAGGUGUGAUAAUUAUCUAUGCCUUUAGUACUCUGCAAGAACGGAUUGCACUGUUC